RNAcentral lists this long non-coding RNA (321 nucleotides) under Gossypium barbadense (sea-island cotton). RNAcentral describes it as "long non-coding RNA (GBAR_LNC001598)". Lineage: Eukaryota; Viridiplantae; Streptophyta; Magnoliopsida; Malvales; Malvaceae. The record is from RNAcentral.
GCGGCAGUAUCAUUAAAUGAAGUAGAAAAAUCACUUGCAUCAGAAAUCUUUUUUUUCUUCUUUGAAAAUGCAGAAUCACCUUGGUUUUUAGCUGGUUGCGGUUGUGUAGCUGAAAGAUCCAUGUCAUCCAAAGAAACAUCAGCUUCGGAUCCAUGGAAAUCGUUUCUUUCUUCAUGAGUAUUUGUAGCAGCUACAUCCUCAGCAUUUAUUUCUUCAAUAAUAUCAGCAGCUAUUUGAGCAUCUUUUCCAGUGGCUCGAUCUUUUGCGUAGAUGGAAGUAAGUUGGUCAUAAUAAGGGAAACUCCGAUGUCUGAAUUGAGCU